Molecule: ribosomal RNA, 386 nt
Filed under: uncultured bacterium
Lineage: Bacteria
Description: bacterial SSU rRNA
Rfam family: Bacterial small subunit ribosomal RNA
Source: RNAcentral
GACGAACGCUGGCGGCGUGCUUAACACAUGCAAGUCGAGCGGUAAGGCCCUUUCGGGGGUACACGAGCGGCGAACGGGUGAGUAACACGUGGGAAUCUGCCUAUUAGUGGGGGACAACCCGGGGAAACUCGGGCUAAUACCGCAUACGCUCUACGGAGGAAAGCCGGGGACCGCAAGGCCUGGCGCUAAUAGAUGAGCCCAAGUCGGAUUAGCUAGUUGGUAGGGUAAUGGCCUACCAAGGCGACGAUCGGUAGCUGGUCUGAGAGGACGACCAGCCACACUGGGACUGAGACACGGCCCAGACUCCUACGGGAGGCAGCAGUGGGGAAUAUUGGACAAUGGGCGCAAGCCUGAUCCAGCGAUGCCGCGUGUGUGAAGAAGGCCUG